Molecule: non-coding RNA, 26 nt
Filed under: Rattus norvegicus (Norway rat)
Lineage: Eukaryota; Metazoa; Chordata; Mammalia; Rodentia; Muridae
Source: RNAcentral
GAUGGUUGUAGAGUCAGAGCUUCCUC